RNAcentral lists this non-coding RNA (212 nucleotides) under Ruminococcus flavefaciens. Lineage: Bacteria; Bacillati; Bacillota; Clostridia; Eubacteriales; Oscillospiraceae. The record is from RNAcentral.
GCACGGCAAGGAUUAGCCACCCACCGUAAGCGAGUCUUGUGCUGUAUGUAGUAAUGCGUACAGUAAAGCGUAGACAGCGUGGAAGCAGGGUUACAAGGUGAUAGAGCCUCGAAAUUUUACAAUCCGGAGGGCUGACGCUUUAAUUCCGGCGGAAAGCAAUAUGUAUGAGUCGUUAUGGUGAGACGAAAUACACCUCAGCGGGGUCAAAGAGC